AUGCAACUUUUCACUGCAUGUUUCUGCCUGGAUCAGGCCCUACCCCACAGCCCAGCCCCUGCCUCCCUCCCUGUCGGCAGGAAAGAAGUGAACAAGUCAGUACCGACCUGGGAGGCCUGGGUGGAGCGGUGUGUAUGCUAUCACAGAAGUGGUCUGCUCCACCUCAGGGCUGCAAGCUCGCUGGAGCCAGCGCGCCGGGCAUCGCCCCGAGGCGCUCAGCAGCUCUUUGUACUCGCAGAGCGUCUCCUCGCAUGCGGCAGGCACCAGACUUUCUCCUGCCUUAGCAAGCAAGUUAUAAUGGCCCAGUCAUCGGCAACAUGUGGCCAAAUCCUCAAUGACAUUUCCUGUUUUUAAAUGGCAAUCAGUGGGCGUGACGUAGCAGUCCUGAGUGCAGCAGCAGGUAAUUGCCCACCAAACACAGCGAAGCUCUUAUCAAAGCAGUGGAUCUCUUCUGAUAGCGCACUGUAUCUGCAUAUUAAUAUUUGAUAGUUCGUGGACAAUUUGCAAAUUUGUAAUGAGGAAAGAAAUACCCUGGGAACUGCUUGCUCGCAAAUACUUUCCAGAGUAUUUCAUUACAUAUUACGUAUUUGUAAGCAAGUCCUUGCCAGUAUUGGCAUUCCCGAGUCGUCUACACUUCAGGAAAGCACAGAUGCGGGGCAGGCUACUGGUGUCCGCAUGAUCACAGCUGGGGAUGUUUCUGUGCCAGCACCAUUUGAUAGAAACCUCCACCACAGCAAGAUAGGAGGGGAUCUGCUACCUGUAUGACUCGGUGAAAAUGGAUCAGAAAUGCAACAUACUGCUAUAUUUUUCUAGUCUUUAUGCAACUACCUGAUGUGCUGAUUUCUUCCACAACAAGCCGUUUUCCUCCUUUCAGUAAAAGUUACCCACCUAGGUCCAGAAAUGCUAAAACUCUGUUUUUCUUAAUUUUUCUCAACAUUUUUCUAAAAAGCUGGAACCAUUAAAUAGCAGAAAUUGCACAGUAAUUGCCAUGAAACACAAGAUUUCAGACCAGGACAGUGGAGGCCUGCCAGAGAAAGUCACAGGGUGCUUUCGCCUGAGCCAAAGUGGAAGGGUUUGGCACAAAAGGAAGAUCAGAGUAUAUGAAAUCUAAUUUCUUCCCCAAAAAUAGCAACUGCAGUUGUAGUCGUAAAUGAGCCCCCUUAAGAUGUAACGUGUAAAGAGGGUGAUACAAUUGUCAGGAUUAGCAGGAUGCUCUACAAAUUUAAUGGAAAAAAAACAACAAAUGAAGCCAUGCCAGCACUGAAUUACUGCAUGGAUGAGUUGGCUUCCAGCCUUUACCGCCUGCACGGAGGAUAAAGGACCAGCUUCGAUCACAGCUGGGCAAGAUGAGCUGGCUGCAGCGAGCAUUAGGACAUGCACUUGGUUUGACUCAAUCACAGCUCUUCGGUGAUGGCUGUGUGACAUGCAAUGUCUGCUAACUGACCAAGUUUGGUCCUCACUGCACUUGGUGCUUUAUGGGCACGGAGCAGGCAUUGUCCCCCAAGCUCACAGUGGAUGUGCAGCUUUUUCGGUGGAAAGUCCUCUUUGGCUGGGCCACCCUUCGCUGAGUGGGCAGUGGGAGAUGCUGGGUUUCCAUGCAGGGACAAGUGCCUCUGGCUCGCAGGUAGCAGCACUGCCAGCAGGCUCUGAGCUGGCCAUGGUGAGGAGUUGAAGGCCAGGUUUGCUGGGUGGAGCAAGGCUCGAUGGUUUCGUGCCUGUCGCCUCGCUGCAAUGUGCUGUUUAACAUUUACCAACAGAUGCAAAGGUCCUGUGAGUAAUGCAUGGGGAAAAUCAAGCAGCAAGAUUUCAGCUCUCCAAACCGACCAGCUGCUAACCUUGCAGAAAGCACGGAGGUGAGAUUAAACGUGGGAUUGCAUAUUUAACUGCAGCUGCAGAGGCUGGCAGCCUUUGCUCCGGGCCAGCCUGGGUCAGGUUGCCUUGCUAGGGCAGUGGCACUGUCCCUGCUGUCACUGUUCCCAAACAGUCCUCAGGAUUUUGUGUAAGUGAAAGCUUGACCAAAGGUCUCCUGUCUCUUAGGCAGGUGUUACCUGCUGGGCUUUGGAUUGUGUGUAUUCUAAGAGAUAUAAAAAUAUACAUUUAUAAAAUUUAUAAAUAUAUUUUAAAUCUUCUGAGCCUGAACCUUCUGGCUGAGGCCAUAAUUAUGUGAUUUAUUUAUAUGUAGGUAAUAUAUAAUUCAUUUUAUACUUGCGUGAUGUUUUUAUUUAAGUAACAACACAUUCAGUAGAUCCUGAGUAAUCAAGUGUCCUGUCCAGAAAACUGAAUGCUCCUCCCUCGCUCUGUUUCCUCUGGCUGAUUUUCAUGUCCUCCAGGCAAAGAGUUCACCUCCCAAGGAUUUUGCAGACAUGAGCUGCAGAUUCCCACCAGAUAUGUGCGACGAUACCUGCAGAUGUACAAGUGUAUGCAAGUGACAAUAUCCUUGCGUGUGUCUGUGUACACACAUAUAUAAGUGUUUCCCAUGGAAAGGCAGGUGAUUUUCCAGAAAAGCCUUUGAGAUGCUUGAUGGUCCUGCCAGGAGAUGUGCUUCCAAGGGUGCUGUGUUUCUGGGCCAUGCUCUUAGACACCGUCCUCACUGCUGACGUGCCUGUAGCUGGCAGGGACUUCUCCAGGGCAGCGGGAAGCAAUCUCCUGCGGGCUGUGGCUGUGCCUGCUGCCCGGAGCAAACCAGCCCCUUUCUACAGACAAGCUACAGAAACAUUUCCCCAAAGCCUACAGCACAUCAGGAAUGUCUCCUUGGAGUUUUCUUCCUUCUCUCCCUCUGGCCAAUAAAAUGUUAACUCUAUAUCUUAAAAAUAAGGAA
RNAcentral lists this long non-coding RNA (2818 nucleotides) under Anser cygnoides (Swan goose). RNAcentral's name for it is "lncRNA (ENSACDG00005013575.1)". Lineage: Eukaryota; Metazoa; Chordata; Aves; Anseriformes; Anatidae. The record is from RNAcentral.